GAUGAACGCUGGCGGCGUGCCUAAUACAUGCAAGUCGAGCGAACAGACGCGGCGCUUGCUCCUCUCUCGUUAGCGGCGGACGUGUGUGUAACACGUGUAUCCCCUACCUAUCUUACUGGGAUCAUUUCGAGAAUCCGGCGAUAAUCCCGUAGAAUCUAUUGCACCGCAUGGUUCAAUAGUGAAAGUCGGCUUUUCCGUCGGUUGUGGAUGGAUUGCCGCCUGAUCAGCUAGUUGGUUGGGUAGCGGCUUACCAAGGCUACGCCGGGUAGCCGGCCUGAGAGGGUGACCGGCCACAGUGGGACUGAGAUACGGACCAGACGCCUACGGGAGGCAGCAGUGGGGAAUAUUGCACAAUGGGCGGAAGCCUGAUGCAGCAACGCCGUGUGCGGGAUGACGGCUUUCGGGUUGUAAACAGCUUUCGCCGGUGACGAAGCGUGAGUGACGGUAAUGGGUAAAGAAGCACCGGCUAACUACGUG
Molecule: ribosomal RNA, 477 nt
Filed under: uncultured bacterium
Lineage: Bacteria
Description: partial 16S ribosomal RNA
Rfam family: Bacterial small subunit ribosomal RNA
Source: RNAcentral